RNAcentral lists this ribosomal RNA (372 nucleotides) under uncultured organism. RNAcentral describes it as "bacterial SSU rRNA". It matches the Rfam family "Bacterial small subunit ribosomal RNA", at positions 526 to 896 of the family's 1533-position model. The record is from RNAcentral.
CGGAGGGUGCGAGCGUUGUCCGGAAUCACUGGGCGUAAAGGGCGCGUAGGCGGCGCGGGCAGUCAACGGUGAAAGCUUGGGGCUCAACCCCGAGUCGGCCGUCGAUACUCCCGUGCUGGAGCACUGUAGAGGCAGGUGGAAUUCCGGGUGUAGCGGUGGAAUGCGUAGAGAUCCGGAAGAACACCGGUGGCGAAGGCGGCCUGCUGGGCAGUAGCUGACGCUGAGGCGCGACAGCGUGGGGAGCAAACAGGAUUAGAUACCCUGGUAGCCCACGCCGUAAACGAUGGGCACUAGGUGCUUGGGGGAGCGACCCUCUGAGUGCCGGCGCUAACGCAUUAAGUGCCCCGCCUGGGGAGUACGGCCGCAAGGCUG